UGUGUAUAAUUAUGGUGCAGGACCAUAUCCAUGGAGGAAAAAGUUCGAAAAGCUGUGACGUUAUAGUAUCCAAGCCAGGCGUGAGACCAGUCCAUUGCCUACUUGAAGUUUAAACAACGGAAAGGACAAGUUUGCUUUAUACACUGAUGUCGGAGCUUGGAGAAAUUCACUUGACUACAUUACCCAGCUCAGGCAGUCUGCAAUACUCAAAGAAUGUCCACGACUAAGAUGUUGAACCAGAUGGCCUACAUCCAGAACUGACGCAUGGAGUUCAAAACUACAUGGAUAAAGGCAGCUACGUUCGAUUCGGCUUAAGGUCACCAUAGUUAGCCCAGACAGCCCUCCGGCACUUUGUCAGAGGACAGAUCAUCUGAGAUGUGAUUGAGAGUCAUGAGGUAACCGCUGUGCAAAUAUUUGGCUCGGAUCUGACAAACCGCAAAAAGUUUGCCUUUUAAAGAGUGUGGCAUAUCAUUCCAACAAGAUGUGCAUUGCCCCAUCACCUUUGUCCAGCCACCUGGCAGAUUCCCUGCGGAGUAGUUGUGUGCUAACUUCUCGGGUUCCAUCACCAAUGAUGGCUUCCCCAAGGCUACAACUACAUACAGAAGAUGAUAGUCAACAUUCAGCUUGUGAUGUAAGAAACGGGCAUUCAGCCGGCGAAUAUAAACCAGCACACCUUAACUGCUUGGUAGUUUUCAUGUGCAGUGCUCAUGGAAAGUGCAGGGAGAGGAUCUUGCUGGAACAGGUGCUCACCCUUCAGUUGGCUCGAUUGGUAGCGCCCAAGUCACUGCCAGCGCCCAUGA
Molecule: long non-coding RNA, 800 nt
Organism: Dreissena polymorpha
Lineage: Eukaryota; Metazoa; Mollusca; Bivalvia; Myida; Dreissenidae
Exons: 7
Source: RefSeq, a predicted model, not a curated record